Sorghum bicolor (sorghum) is the source of this 2326-nucleotide RNA transcript. It is a transcript of the gene named probable anion transporter 5, chloroplastic, with no coding region annotated. The transcript has 14 exons. NCBI's taxonomy places the organism in Eukaryota, Viridiplantae, Streptophyta, Magnoliopsida, Poales, Poaceae. The record is from RefSeq and is a predicted model, not a curated record.
CAUUACUAGUUUGUAUCUGUUUAUUAGGCAAUGCAGAUUCGCAGAGAAUUGCCUGCAUUGCAUUAGCUUAUAUCCGGACUUAUUAGGCAUUGCAGGUUUGCAACAUUAGCUUAAACCCAGACUUUUUUAGGCAGUGUUGUCGCAAAUACGGUAACGGUACUGUUUGCUUGCUUCAUGGUUGCUGUCGAUUGCGUUCUAUUUUCGUUUUCUUCCGGUGAGGGUAGCAUGUGGGGAUGCCAGCGAGGCAAGCAGCGGCCACGUGGCGUCACUAGGUAGACGAACACGUGGGCCCCUGUGUGGCCCACGUGCCACGGCAACCACACACUCUUGGCUUCGUGCUCUCCUCUCCGCCGCGCAACUCUAGAGACAGAGUUCAAAGCGCAACAGUUGCGCACCCUUUUUCCUCUUCUCGUGGCCGCUCGAUAUACUGGCACUGCUCGCCAGAGCACGCACGAGUUCGAACACCACGCUCCACGCCCCUUGCUCGCAGCUCGCUCCACGACAUGACGGCCUCGGCGCUGCAGGCCGAGCGCCACCUGCUCCUCCUCGGUAGCGGCCGCCACCGGCCCCUCCUCCGCAUGCUCCCGCCACGCCCACGCGUGCCCCUCCCGCACCGGCGCCGCAGCUGGCCCCGGGCCGUGAGGGUGUCACCCGGCGACGGCGGGGGCGCGGGAGGGUUCGCGAGCGCCGUGGAGAAGCGCUCGAUUCCGGGGAUAGUUGGGGAGGAGGAGCAUGGAGCGACGGGAGAGGAGGAGUUGGAAGGGGAAGUGGCCGGGGCUUUGGAGCUGAAGUGGCCGCCGUGGGAGGGGUUGGCCGAGCGGUACAAGCUCAUCGGCGCGACCUCGCUCGCCUUCGUCAUCUGCAACAUGGACAAGGUUAACUUGAGUAUCGCAAUUAUUCCAAUGUCACAUCAAUAUGGUUGGAACUCGUCAACUGCUGGCUUAGUUCAGUCCUCAUUCUUUUGGGGUUAUGCGUUGAGUCAACUACCAGGAGGAUGGCUGGCAAAAUUGUUUGGCGGAAGGAAAGUGCUUGAGGUCGGUGUUGUGACAUGGUCUUUGGCCACUGCUAUAGUUCCUGUUGUAGCAGGGUUUAUGCCAGGGCUUGUCUUGUCAAGGAUCCUGGUAGGCAUUGGAGAAGGUGUUUCACCAUCAGCUGCUACAGAUUUAAUUGCUAGGUCCAUUCCCUUGCAAGAGCGGUCAAGAGCAGUUGCUGUUGUCUUUGGUGGUUUGAGCUUUGGAAGUGUCUUAGGACUCCUGUUUGCCCCUCCCAUCAUUCAGAACCUUGGCUGGGAGUCUGUCUUUUACAUAUUUGGCCUUCUUGGGAUUGUUUGGUGCUUAGGAUUUGAAUCUCUUAAAGUGCAACGGUUCGGUGACAAAGAAGGCAUAUUAAACCUUGGACAAAGUUCUACUGGAUCUGAUGGUCUUAUCUCAUCCGCCAUGUCUUCGGAAUCAUCACACUCGUCAUUGGAAGAUCUGCAAAAUUCACUAAAGGAUGUGCCUUGGGGAGCAUUUUUCAAAAGCAAGGCAGUGUGGGCAAUGAUAUAUGCACACUUUUGUGGAAGUUGGGGGCAUUAUACUUGUUUGUCUUGGCUACCAACGUUCUUUAGUGAGGAGCUGAACCUGAACUUGACAGAAGCAGCAUGGGUGUCAGUCCUUCCUCCUUUGGGUUCAAUGAUCAUUACAUCUAUUGCAGCACCUUUUGCAGACAACUUGAUAUCAAAUGGAGUUGACACCACGAAGGGCUUUAUUGCACACAUCAAGAUAUCUCUCGUGAAUAUGCAAGCAUUCUCCUGGGAAUCACAAACACUGUAGGCGCUGUGCCAGGAAUUGUAGGCAUUGCACUGACAGGCUUUCUGCUUGAUUCAACUCAUUCUUGGAGUAUAUCACUCUUUGUGCCUUCUAUCUUCUUUUACUUAACUGGUACUGCUGUAUGGUUAGCAUUUGCAAGCAGUGAGCCCCAGGAUUUUUCCAAGUCAGAACCUGAGUCAUGAAUCGUGAUGUAUGGCUCUCUGCACAGAAGGAUCGUUUCAGAAGGAAAAUUCGUUUUUUUAGUCUAGGCAAAAGAAUGGAACUCUAGGGCAGGGAAUAGAUGUUAUGUUCCUUUUCAGUCAGUUGCAGAUAAGAGGAGCUUACGCGUAUAUAGUAUAAUAGUAGGCUUUUUUCUGGUUAUUUUUCACAUUUUGAUAUGAUUUUGGAAGGGAAAGAGGACUGUGUUUGUCAUGAAGGGGAAUGUGUGCCGUCAGGCCGUUUGUAGUAUGUCACUUUCUUCAAGUGUUUUUUUUUUACUUUCAACAGUACAAUUUUAGUUAAAUACCUUUUCAGUUACU